This 253-nucleotide ribosomal RNA is filed under the name uncultured bacterium. Its description in RNAcentral is "partial 16S ribosomal RNA". It matches the Rfam family "Bacterial small subunit ribosomal RNA", at positions 524 to 776 of the family's 1533-position model. The record is from RNAcentral.
UACGGAGGGGGCUAGCGUUGUUCGGAAUUACUGGGCGUAAAGCGCGCGUAGGCGGACCUGCAAGUCGGGGGUGAAAGCCCGAGGCUCAACCUCGGAACUGCCUUCGAUACUGCGGGUCUCGAGUCCGGGAGAGGUGAGUGGAAUUCCUAGUGUAGAGGUGAAAUUCGUAGAUAUCAGGAGGAACACCGGUGGCGAAGGCGCCACUCUGGGCCGAGACUGACGCUGAGGAGCGAAAGCGUGGGUAGCAAACAGG